RNAcentral lists this long non-coding RNA (868 nucleotides) under Trifolium pratense (red clover). RNAcentral's name for it is "long non-coding RNA (TPRA_LNC001711)". The record is from RNAcentral. Lineage: Eukaryota; Viridiplantae; Streptophyta; Magnoliopsida; Fabales; Fabaceae.
CCUUAACAGAUUGUAUAUAUUGUGUUUGCUCAUGUGGCCUCGACUUUUUUGGUCCUCAGUAUUGACUUGAAGCCCCGGCAUUUCAGAAUACCAUUGGCUGAGAAAUGAGAACUUAUGUAGUAUCAUCGUCAUCAGGACCCAAAUCUAUCUCUUUGCACAACUUCUCAAACAUCACUUGACUCGUAGGAUAUCGGUAAUCAAUAGAUUGUAAAGUGAAAUAAGAAUACUUAAUGUCAAACUGCAUAUCAUACCCUGCAUAAAAUACAACUUGAAUCAAAAUUUGUUAUUAACAUGAUGAAACCACAUGCUUGGCCUGCAUUCAUUACAUCCUCUCAUUAUCAGCAUUACCAUAUACAAUCUAAAAAUGAUUGAAUGAAGAAACCAGUAUCCUACAAACAAAACAAACAACACCCCAAAUGACUUAAACUCCAAAAGCUAAAACCUUUAACAAUCAAACUGAAACCCCAUCAUUAAAAAUAACACACUAGAGUCUAUGACAUGUCUAUAAUCUAAGUUCAUAGAUGUUAAAAUUGCACAUACCCACAAAACUAGAGUUUGAUAACCCCAUUAUAAAAGUUGAAGCAAAGCAAUUGAAAAUCAAAUAAAUAUCUCAAAUUUGCAAAAAAGAACAAUAAACCAACCGUGAGGAAGAGAAGAAUGGUAGAAAAAACAAAAGAUGAGAGAGUCAGAAAGGGAUUAAAGACGCUACGCAAGCAGAGGAGAGGAGAGCAGCAAAAGAGAGGUAUUUUGAAAUACCUCAUAUUUUCUUCUUUCUCUCUUCUUCUUUCUCUCGGUGCCGGGUCUCGAACCGAGUUUCUCUAAAUUGAGGAUUAACUCCUCAACCAAGUGACUUCUCGGGAGACAGGCA